UGAAAUCUGCAGGACAGUAGCUCUCCAGGAGCAGGGUUGGAGACCCCUGCUUUAGAGGAUGUGAGUGUGUCAGAGGCUGCGUAAUGAAGUAUUUCUCAAAGGAAGUCCACCCUCAUCCGUGUCCCUCUUACCCACACGUCUCACUCCUGCAAUUACAGAUCAUAAAUGAAGAAACUUUGGUUAAUUUCAGAGCAGAUUUGGAAUGCCAUGAAGCCCCCCACCCACCGCGCUCCAGUAUGAAGUAAUGGGAUGCUAUUGAAGAUGCUGCCUUUGAUGUCUGGAAGCAGAUGGGCAGAGGAGGAGAGCUGCGUGCUGACAGGUAUCUCUCUCAUCAUGUCUGAAGUCCAGAGGGGAUGUGAAGCUCUGCAAGACACACACUGAAGGAGACUGCGUUGAUUGUUCUGAUGUGAUCCUGGCACGGCCCUGACGUAAUUUAUGAAGCGCU
Long non-coding RNA from Cyprinus carpio carpio, 445 nucleotides. Lineage: Eukaryota; Metazoa; Chordata; Actinopteri; Cypriniformes; Cyprinidae. The record is from Ensembl.